GCCCAGGUAGUUUAAAAAAAACAAUAAACUGUGACCUUAUAGAUGUAUCCUUAUACCCUGAGCA
RNAcentral lists this transfer RNA (64 nucleotides) under Cirriformia cf. tentaculata HK-2018. Its description in RNAcentral is "tRNA-His". It matches the Rfam family "tRNA". From Rfam's summary of the family: Transfer RNA (tRNA) molecules are approximately 80 nucleotides in length. Their secondary structure includes four short double-helical elements and three loops (D, anti-codon, and T loops). Lineage: Eukaryota; Metazoa; Annelida; Polychaeta; Terebellida; Cirratulidae. The record is from RNAcentral.